Long non-coding RNA from Pelobates fuscus (common spadefoot toad), 535 nucleotides. RefSeq lists it as uncharacterized. Lineage: Eukaryota; Metazoa; Chordata; Amphibia; Anura; Pelobatidae. The transcript has 7 exons. The record is from RefSeq and is a predicted model, not a curated record.
CUGAGCUCUGCCCAUUCUGCACGUGUCUGAGCAGCAGAGAGUAAAUCAGUUAAAGGAUGAAGAAUUCAAUGUCCAGUACAGACCAGGCAGACAUGUAUCCAUCAUUCCUUCUCCUGCAGGAAGAAGAUGGGGGAGAGAAAAACAGCUAGUGGUCGCAUUGUUGCAUAAUUGAAGAGAUUUGUGACCUAAGGAAGAAGAUGAGGGGGAGAAAAACAGCUAGUGGUCGCAUUGUUGCAUAAUUGAAGAGAUUUGUGACCUAAGGAAGAAGAUGGGGGGGAGAAAAACGGCUAGUGGUCGCAUUGUUGCAUAAUUGAAGAGAUUUGUGACCUAAGGAAGAAGAUGGGGGGGAGAAAAACGGCUAGUGGUCGCAUUGUUGCAUAAUUGAAGAGAUUUGUGACCUAAGUGAUGGGAGUGUGUCCAAAGAUCGUAGCCCUAAAAGUAACCUGAAGAAUAUCUACCCGUGGUGGAUCUAAUCACAGAACCUGCCUAGCGCCAUGGAGACUUCAUUAUAGAGUCUGCUGUAUGAAAUCAUGAU